RNAcentral lists this ribosomal RNA (265 nucleotides) under uncultured bacterium. Its description in RNAcentral is "partial 16S ribosomal RNA". It matches the Rfam family "Bacterial small subunit ribosomal RNA", at positions 793 to 1055 of the family's 1533-position model. The record is from RNAcentral.
GUCCACGCCGUAAACGAUGAGUGCUAGAUGUCGCGGGUAUUGACCCCUGCGGCGUCGCAGUUAACGCAUUAAGCACUCCGCCUGGGGAGUACGGCCGCAAGGCUAAAACUCAAAGGAAUUGACGGGGGCCCGCACAAGCGGUGGAGCAUGUGGUUCAAUUCGACGCAACGCGCAGAACCUUACCUGGGUUAAAUCCACCGGAACCCCGCAGAGAUGUGGGGGUGCCCGCAAGGGAGCCGGUGAGAAGGUGCUGCAUGGCUGUCGU